UAGGGAAUCUUCCACAAUGGGCGCAAGCCUGAUGGAGCAACGCCGCGUGAGUGAAGAAGGUCUUCGGAUCGUAAAACUCUGUUGUUAGAGAAGAACAUGCAGGAGAGUAACUGUUCUUGUAUUGACGGUAUCUAACCGGAAAGCCACGGGCUAACUACGUGCCG
This 164-nucleotide ribosomal RNA is filed under the name uncultured bacterium. RNAcentral's name for it is "partial 16S rRNA". It matches the Rfam family "Bacterial small subunit ribosomal RNA", at positions 355 to 510 of the family's 1533-position model. The record is from RNAcentral.